GUAGGUGAACCUGCGGAAGGAUCAUCAUUGAAUCCAACUCUACAAACCUUUGUGCACCGUAACUUACGCAGUUGUUGGCAGGUCAAGUCUUGUCUAGUACAAGUCUGGUUAGUUGUGCGAUGUUCCCUAGGCUCUUGGGCCUAGAUACACGCGUUCUGACGCCUGCCAGCAGCUCCUGUUCAACAAAAACUUUUGAUGUACCAAUGAAGUCUAAUGUAAAGUAAAUAAUAAUAAACAACUUUCAACAAUG
RNAcentral lists this unclassified non-coding RNA (250 nucleotides) under plant metagenome. RNAcentral's name for it is "partial contains small subunit ribosomal RNA, internal transcribed spacer 1, and 5.8S ribosomal RNA". The record is from RNAcentral.